CUGUCUCUCACCCUCCUCUCCCUAAGCUUGGGGCAUGUUUCUCUGGAUUACAUAUUUUUUCAUUAUGUAAACACAAUAAAUCAUGUCAACAGCCUGUGCUAACCAGCCUCCACACCUCACUGUGACACUUGCUUCUGGUGAAAAUUGUUUCUUCUUUUGCUAAAGUGACUGUAUUCUAUGAAUACCUAUUUCAAGUAUAACUUCUAAAGGGGGAACUGUUAAGGUCACAGUCUGAUGGAUAUAACAAACAUGCAAACCCUUAAGACAAGCUGAGAUUUAAUUUGCAGUGCACACACGCACACACAUACACAGAGAUGUCAUCUUAGUGUGUUGGAAAGCACCGUUGGGUAAAAUUAUGAAAUGUAUCUUAGGAAGUAAAGGACUGUAUGAUUGAAGAUUACGAUCAUUUUUCCAUUCAACAGCCUAAUGGGUGGCAGGCACUCCAUUAGGUACUAAGAACAUGACAGAGAAGAGGACCAUGUAUACCCUCCUGGAUUGCAAGUUUAGCUGCUGAGACAGACAAUUGCCCAAAUGACCAGGAGGCAUCAGUAGGAGACGGCUGCUGCUGUUCCAGUCUCUCCUUAGGCAGACUUGAGUUUCUACCCACUCUUCCCAAGCAGCCGCCCCUCCGCACCCGAGCGAGCCAAAGACCUGGCGGGCUGAGUACUCACUGCGCGCUGGACACAUGCUGAGCCGGCACUGCAGGGACACAGGGCGAGCCGCUGGAUGCAGACCUGUGGCCGCGGCAGUUGGGCUUAUCUUGCCCAUGAAGUUGCCUCUGAAGAACCAAGUCCAACUGUGUAUGCUGAGAGAUGUCUGGCUACUUCCUGAUUGACAGUUCUGGCAAGGUGGCAUUGGGCCCUGGCUUUUCCUCUGGAGGCAUCAUCACUUAUAGGAAAAUGUCCCCUGAAGUCCAAGGAUCAAAGCUGCUGGAACACUGAGAAGCUGAACAAAGGAGAACUGUUUCUCAUCAAACCCAGACUUCCAGACUUCCAAUAGGGUAGAAUGAGCAAGUCAGCAAAUCAUCUUCCUUGGAAACAGUGAUAAAACUAGAUGACAUUGUCAACAACAGCCAUUUCAGAAAUCUAGAAAAUGACCAAAGGCAAACAACAAACUGAGAAGCAUUUUUUUUUCCAUGAAAAAUCGCUCUAUUUCUGCAAAAAUAGUGGGAGUCUAUGGCUUCUCAUCCAGGGCUGUUUCUCUCCCCACCCCAGCUCAGUCAGUACAAAGGUUCUGGCAGCAUGAGGCAGACUGAACAGACCUGAAGUUUGAUUGCUGGAAGAAACUGACUCCAGGUUUGGCAGAGGGUGAGAAACCUACUCCCAGCCAUGUUGUCUGGUGACACAGUGACCUUAGGGACAAGUGAAUAGGGAAGGCCAGUGAUUCAUUAACCUGAGGUUGCAGUCCUGGUUGGGGAAAGCAUCAGAAUGGCAGAUAAGCUAGAAAUUUAGUAGGGAUAUGCUGGAAAUGAGACAACCCCAAAGGGGCUUGACCCCAAAGUUGUCCACACACCCCAGCUGCCUUCUGAGCAGAUGUAGGGAGAGACCAGAGAAGGCCUAGGCUAUCCACACAUCUCUGGCUAACCCAGGCUGUAAACCUGUGGAGGAGACACAAGAGGUGGAUUGAUUGCUAAUGGGCAUAUGGGGGAUCUUACUGGUUGAUAGGAACAUUCUCAAAUUGGAUUGUGGUGAUGCUUGCACAACUCUAAGUUUAUCCCAAAUUGCUAAAUUUUACACUAAAAAGGGGUGAACUUUAGGGUAUAUAAAUUAUACAUCAAUAAAGUUGUCAUAAAGCAUUCACAUUC
RNAcentral lists this long non-coding RNA (1804 nucleotides) under Homo sapiens (human). RNAcentral's name for it is "HSALNT0315752". The record is from RNAcentral. Lineage: Eukaryota; Metazoa; Chordata; Mammalia; Primates; Hominidae.